RNAcentral lists this unclassified non-coding RNA (334 nucleotides) under soil metagenome. RNAcentral's name for it is "partial contains 5.8S ribosomal RNA, internal transcribed spacer 2, and large subunit ribosomal RNA". The stretch from base 1 to 120 matches the Rfam family "5.8S ribosomal RNA", at positions 35 to 154 of the family's 154-position model. The record is from RNAcentral.
GAUGAAGAACGCAGCGAAAUGCGAUACGUAAUGUGAAUUGCAGAAUUCAGUGAAUCAUCGAAUCUUUGAACGCACAUUGCGCCUGCCAGCACUCUGGCAGGCAUGCCUGUUCGAGCGUCAUUUCAACCAUCAAGCCCUAGGCUUGCGUUGGAGCCCUGCGGCUGCCGCAGGCCCCUAAAAGCAGUGGCGGGCUCGCUAUCACACCGAGUGCAGUAGAUUACUCUUCGCCCAGGGCGUGUGGCGGGUUCCAGCCGUGAAACCCCCUACUUCUCAAGGUUGACCUCGGAUCAGGUAGGAAUACCCGCUGAACUUAAGCAUAUCAAUAAGCGGAGGA